Long non-coding RNA from Stegodyphus dumicola, 507 nucleotides. Lineage: Eukaryota; Metazoa; Arthropoda; Arachnida; Araneae; Eresidae. The record is from RefSeq and is a predicted model, not a curated record.
UGUGCAAGGAUUUAUAAAGCAUCUUGGCAUUACAAACAGAGUCUACAAAGUGUGUGCCGACGAAUCACGCAGAUGUAAAGAGGAACUAAAAACUCAGGUUGAAUCUUUGAAAAAGAUGUGUGAAACAGAAUUAGCCGAGAUUAUGAUAUGGGCAAAUGCUGAUACUGAGGAUGAUGAUACUGAAGAUGAUGAUACUGAAGCAAGCAAGCAGUCCAAACAGUGCAAGCGAAAGAAAAUUGAUGAUGGUACGACGAAUUAAAAUGGAUUUCAUCAUCAAGGCUUAAUGAUUAAAGACUCAUGAUUGUGUUUUAAAAGACUCAUGAAGCUUACAGUCUUUCAUUAUGAAGGACUUACUAUUUUUAUUAUCAAGCACUGCAGUUUAAGAAGUGUUACGGAAACAUUUUAUUAUUCUAGAACCCUUUUUUAAAGCAUUUUAUGGUAAAAAAGUGUAAUUGUAUUUUAUGAAGUGUGUUAAUUUCGAUGAUAAUAAAUUGUAUAAAUUCAUUA